GUGCUACGGCAUUAGCGAGGACCUCCGCGAGUUUGUCAACGGCAUGACCGUAAUCACCUUCCGUGACUUCCCCUUGCAAGGUAUUGUUUACUCGAGUGCUGGAUUGACUGAUGGCAUGAUUUUGUUUGCACAGAUGAGUUGGAGCUGUCGGGUGUGUCCACGGCAAAUAGAGGAAGAGAGAUUCCAAAGGGAGCAAUCUAGACGAGUUAGUAUUUUUAGUUCCUUUGAAAUAAACUGUAACCCAGAUAUGGUACUGUAGUAUAUGUAGCACUAAAUCUGUUUAGCAUUAAGAUAUUUCUACAUAUUUGCAGGCAGAGAAACAAAGACAAAAGGAGGAACUCAGAAAAGAGAAAUAGAUGGCGAGGCAGAUGAGCGCUUGGAAUUGACUGCGCAAAGCAAAGGGUUACCCUCAAUGCUUUGUCUUGAUAGUGACACAUUGCAGCAGUUGGAGUCAUUCUGAGGUAUGCGUAUUAAGUUUAAUUCUAACUUCUUAAUACUACACGCCACCGAAGGUCACUUCUAAUGUAUUUGUAGGAAACAAAUCCAUAUUCUCAUGUAUCCAUAGUAGAAUAUAACUAGCACAUUAGGAUGGAAUGAGAAACAUUAAUUUUUAACACUGUAACACAUCUAUUGAAUUUCUGGGUGAAGCUUGACCACUGAAAAGUGUAAUAUACUUGCUUUUGUAGGGUUAAUGAAUGCAGAUUCAUAAUAGAUUAUAAAUCUGUCGAGGCUUGUUUUGAUUUCUACUUUCAGUAAAAUCAGAUUUAUCAAACUAGCCUUAACACAGUAAAAGCAAUCUGUAGUGAGUACAGGAUUUGUAAUGCUGACGUCUCCCUAUGAUUGAUGCAACAGCAGAUGACCUUAUAGAUGUCAUUGAGGGAAGUAGAAUCUACAUGCCUUGCAUCUACCCCCUAGCAGAUGACGG
Molecule: long non-coding RNA, 925 nt
Filed under: Triticum aestivum (bread wheat)
Lineage: Eukaryota; Viridiplantae; Streptophyta; Magnoliopsida; Poales; Poaceae
Description: long non-coding RNA (TAES_LNC002910)
Source: RNAcentral